Molecule: ribosomal RNA, 508 nt
Filed under: uncultured bacterium
Lineage: Bacteria
Description: partial 16S ribosomal RNA
Rfam family: Bacterial small subunit ribosomal RNA
Source: RNAcentral
GACGAACGCUGGCGGCGUGCCUAAUACAUGCAAGUCGAACGCUUCUUUCCUCCCGAGUGCUUGCACUCAAUUGGAAAGCGGAGUGGCGGACGGGUGAGUAACACGUGUGUAACCUACCCAUCAGAGGGGGAUAACACUUGGAAACAGGUGCUAAUACCGCCUAACAGUUUAUGCCGCAUGGCAUAAGAGUGAAAGGCGCUUUCGGGUGUCGCUGAUGGAUGGACCCGCGGUGCAUUAGCUAGUUGGUGAGGUAACGGCUCACCAAGGCCACGAUGCAUAGCCGACAUGAGAGGGUGAUCGGCCACACUGGGACUGAGACACGGCCCAGACUCCUACGGGAGGCAGCAGUAGGGAAUCUUCGGCAAUGGACGAAAGUCUGACCGAGCAACGCCGCGUGAGUGAAGAAGGUUUUCGGAUCGUAAAACUCUGUUGUUAGAGAAGAACAAGGACGUUAGUAACUGAACGUCCCCUGACGGUAUCUAACCAGAAAGCCACGGCUAACUACGUG